GUGUAAAUGAUCUUGACUGUUUUGGCAAAUGUUUUAAUAAUAUCGUUAGUUCAAAGAAUCUGAAUAUCUUUUACAAUUGCCUUCGGGACCAAACCUCUACAACAGGAUCACAAGGAAUAAAACAGUUUCUCUGUGAAACUGCCACAGAUGAGCAGUUAAAAGAAUUUGAUAAAUGUAUAAACCCCGAGAAUCCUGAAUCAGUUAUUUUAUCUGUACAAUUUGAGUGUUGCAUUCAAAAUUGUUCCCGACUUCUCGUUUUUUUUUCCACUUGUCGAUAUUUGUCGUGUUAUAGGUUAACAUUUUGGAUUUUUGUUAAUUGCUUUUUCAGCAAAAUU
Centruroides sculpturatus (bark scorpion) is the source of this 335-nucleotide long non-coding RNA. RefSeq lists it as uncharacterized. Lineage: Eukaryota; Metazoa; Arthropoda; Arachnida; Scorpiones; Buthidae. The record is from RefSeq and is a predicted model, not a curated record. The transcript is spliced from 4 exons.